This 405-nucleotide ribosomal RNA is filed under the name uncultured bacterium. RNAcentral describes it as "partial 16S ribosomal RNA". It matches the Rfam family "Bacterial small subunit ribosomal RNA", at positions 28 to 526 of the family's 1533-position model. The record is from RNAcentral.
GAUGAACGCUGGCGGCGUGCCUAAUACAUGCAAGUCGAACGAAGCGGGGACGGGUGAGUAACACGUGGAUAACCUCCUAUAAGACUGGGAUAACCUCGGGAAACCGGAGCUAAACCGGAACCUUAUCGAUGGAUCCGCGACGCAUUAGCUAGUUGGUAAGGUAACGGCUUACGAAGGCGACGAUGCGUAGCCGACCUGAGAGUGUUAUCGGCCACACUGGAACUGUGACACGGUCCAGACUCCUACGGGGGGCAGCAGGAGGGAAUCUUCCGCAAUGGGCGAAAGCCUGACGGAGCAAUGCCGCGUGAGUGAAGAAGGUCUUCGGAUCGUAAAACUCUGGUAGUAGGGAAGCGGUACCUAAUCAGAAAGCCCCGGCUAACUACGUGCCAGCAGCCGCGGUAAUAC